GGGUUGUGAGGUUAAGCGACUAAGCGUACACGGUGGAUGCCCUGGCAGUCAGAGGCGAUGAAGGACGUGCUAAUCUGCGAUAAGCGUCGGUAAGGUGAUAUGAACCGUUAUAACCGGCGAUUUCCGAAUGGGGAAACCCAGUGUGUUUCGACACACUAUCAUUAACUGAAUCCAUAGGUUAAUGAGGCGAACCGGGGGAACUGAAACAUCUAAGUACCCCGAGGAAAAGAAAUCAACCGAGAUUCCCCCAGUAGCGGCGAGCGAACGGGGAGCAGCCCAGAGCCUGAAUCAGUGUGUGUGUUAGUGGAAGCGUCUGGAAAGGCGCGCGAUACAGGGUGACAGCCCCGUACACAAAAAUGCACAUGCUGUGAGCUCGAUGAGUAGGGCGGGACACGUGGUAUCCUGUCUGAAUAUGGGGGGACCAUCCUCCAAGGCUAAAUACUCCUGACUGACCGAUAGUGAACCAGUACCGUGAGGGAAAGGCGAAAAGAACCCCGGCGAGGGGAGUGAAAAAGAACCUGAAACCGUGUACGUACAAGCAGUGGGAGCACGCUUAGGCGUGUGACUGCGUACCUUUUGUAUAAUGGGUCAGCGACUUAUAUUCUGUAGCAAGGUUAACCGAAUAGGGGAGCCGAAGGGAAACCGAGUCUUAACUGGGCGUUAAGUUGCAGGGUAUAGACCCGAAACCCGGUGAUCUAGCCAUGGGCAGGUUGAAGGUUGGGUAACACUAACUGGAGGACCGAACCGACUAAUGUUGAAAAAUUAGCGGAUGACUUGUGGCUGGGGGUGAAAGGCCAAUCAAACCGGGAGAUAGCUGGUUCUCCCCGAAAGCUAUUUAGGUAGCGCCUCGUGAAUUCAUCUCCGGGGGUAGAGCACUGUUUCGGCAAGGGGGUCAUCCCGACUUACCAACCCGAUGCAAACUGCGAAUACCGGAGAAUGUUAUCACGGGAGACACACGGCGGGUGCUAACGUCCGUCGUGAAGAGGGAAACAACCCAGACCGCCAGCUAAGGUCCCAAAGUCAUGGUUAAGUGGGAAACGAUGUGGGAAGGCCCAGACAGCCAGGAUGUUGGCUUAGAAGCAGCCAUCAUUUAAAGAAAGCGUAAUAGCUCACUGGUCGAGUCGGCCUGCGCGGAAGAUGUAACGGGGCUAAACCAUGCACCGAAGCUGCGGCAGCGACGCUUAUGCGUUGUUGGGUAGGGGAGCGUUCUGUAAGCCUGCGAAGGUGUGCUGUGAGGCAUGCUGGAGGUAUCAGAAGUGCGAAUGCUGACAUAAGUAACGAUAAAGCGGGUGAAAAGCCCGCUCGCCGGAAGACCAAGGGUUCCUGUCCAACGUUAAUCGGGGCAGGGUGAGUCGACCCCUAAGGCGAGGCCGAAAGGCGUAGUCGAUGGGAAACAGGUUAAUAUUCCUGUACUUGGUGUUACUGCGAAGGGGGGACGGAGAAGGCUAUGUUGGCCGGGCGACGGUUGUCCCGGUUUAAGCGUGUAGGCUGGUUUUCCAGGCAAAUCCGGAAAAUCAAGGCUGAGGCGUGAUGACGAGGUACUACGGUGCUGAAGCAACAAAUGCCCUGCUUCCAGGAAAAGCCUCUAAGCAUCAGGUAACAUCAAAUCGUACCCCAAACCGACACAGGUGGUCAGGUAGAGAAUACCAAGGCGCUUGAGAGAACUCGGGUGAAGGAACUAGGCAAAAUGGUGCCGUAACUUCGGGAGAAGGCACGCUGAUAUGUAGGUGAAGUCCCUUGCGGAUGGAGCUGAAAUCAGUCGAAGAUACCAGCUGGCUGCAACUGUUUAUUAAAAACACAGCACUGUGCAAACACGAAAGUGGACGUAUACGGUGUGACGCCUGCCCGGUGCCGGAAGGUUAAUUGAUGGGGUUAGCGGUAACGCGAAGCUCUUGAUCGAAGCCCCGGUAAACGGCGGCCGUAACUAUAACGGUCCUAAGGUAGCGAAAUUCCUUGUCGGGUAAGUUCCGACCUGCACGAAUGGCGUAAUGAUGGCCAGGCUGUCUCCACCCGAGACUCAGUGAAAUUGAACUCGCUGUGAAGAUGCAGUGUACCCGCGGCAAGACGGAAAGACCCCGUGAACCUUUACUAUAGCUUGACACUGAACAUUGAGCCUUGAUGUGUAGGAUAGGUGGGAGGCUUUGAAGUGUGGACGCCAGUCUGCAUGGAGCCGACCUUGAAAUACCACCCUUUAAUGUUUGAUGUUCUAACGUUGACCCGUGAUCCGGGUUGCGGACAGUGUCUGGUGGGUAGUUUGACUGGGGCGGUCUCCUCCUAAAGAGUAACGGAGGAGCACGAAGGUUGGCUAAUCCUGGUCGGACAUCAGGAGGUUAGUGCAAUGGCAUAAGCCAGCUUGACUGCGAGCGUGACGGCGCGAGCAGGUGCGAAAGCAGGUCAUAGUGAUCCGGUGGUUCUGAAUGGAAGGGCCAUCGCUCAACGGAUAAAAGGUACUCCGGGGAUAACAGGCUGAUACCGCCCAAGAGUUCAUAUCGACGGCGGUGUUUGGCACCUCGAUGUCGGCUCAUCACAUCCUGGGGCUGAAGUAGGUCCCAAGGGUAUGGCUGUUCGCCAUUUAAAGUGGUACGCGAGCUGGGUUUAGAACGUCGUGAGACAGUUCGGUCCCUAUCUGCCGUGGGCGCUGGAGAACUGAGGGGGGCUGCUCCUAGUACGAGAGGACCGGAGUGGACGCAUCACUGGUGUUCGGGUUGUCAUGCCAAUGGCACUGCCCGGUAGCUAAAUGCGGAAGAGAUAAGUGCUGAAAGCAUCUAAGCACGAAACUUGCCCCGAGAUGAGUUCUCCCUGACCCUUUAAGGGUCCUGAAGGAACGUUGAAGACGACGACGUUGAUAGGCCGGGUGUGUAAGCGCAGCGAUGCGUUGAGCUAACCGGUACUAAUGAACCGUGAGGCUUAACCUUACAACGCCGAAGGUGUUU
Molecule: ribosomal RNA, 2933 nt
Filed under: Escherichia coli
Lineage: Bacteria; Pseudomonadati; Pseudomonadota; Gammaproteobacteria; Enterobacterales; Enterobacteriaceae
Description: 23S ribosomal RNA
Rfam family: Bacterial large subunit ribosomal RNA
Source: RNAcentral